CAGAAUCCCGAAGUAGAGUUCUUAAUCCGCACCCAACCGGACCUGCUCCAGUCAGAGCAGCGCAGAGCUCUUGAGGAAAAUUCGGAAAAGCCUUGUGAAAAUUGGUCCAUUAAUUAAUAGAUAAUCAAAGCGUUCAGCUCUGGCCUAAAGUUCGGGGCGUGGACUCCAUUCAUCCAUCCAGUCCAUCAGUCAUGUCCUUGUUGCAGUUGUAAGUGCAGGAAAAGCGGAAAAGCGGACUACCAUGGACACCAGCAACAGCAGAUCCUGGCUGCUCUACGGCAUCCUGGGGCUCCUGGCGAUUGCCGCAGCUAGCUAACAAAUUUUUACAGCAAUGAUUUGAUUUUUUUCUUAAAUUUAACAAACUUGCGCUGGCAGCGCCGCCUUAACAAGUUCUCCAAGCUCUCAUUUUGGCCAACAACCAACCACCACCACCACCACCGCCACUGCCACUGCCACCGCCAGCCUCAUGCCGCGGACCGCUGCUCCCUUAUUGUACAUCUCAGCCUCUCAACACCACAACCCCACAACCAACCAAGAACCAGAACCAGAACCACCAGAAACAACAGCCAGAGACCAGAAACAACAGAAACCAGAAAAAAGAAUAACAGAAACCGCCACACGAACCAUCGAACGCCUGAGAAUGCCUGAGAAUAGAUCCCCGACAAAAUGAAUACAAAUGAGACUUGGAGAAACUGCCAAAGCGACGCUGCUGCAGCGCUGCCUACGAAAAAAAAAAAAAAUACGAGAAAAUUAUAAACAAACUCACAAAACUGCGCUAGUCAUUAACUAACUCUAUAUCAAACUAUAUAGUAUAUAUAUAUUCCAUAUAAUCUAUCGUAGAACUCUCCUUAGUAGCACACCCACCACCACCACCCGCACAAGAAAGCAGUUGAGUGCUGCCCCUUAAGAAUAGAUCUUCUUCUAUAGAACUGCAUAUCUCUGCUCUCUGCUCUCUCUGUCUUUGUCUCUCCUGCUCUUGCUCGUGCUCUUGCUCUCCCUCUCUCUCUCUCUCUCUCCGUAUAAUGCUCGACAACUGUAAACUUCUGUACCCUACUAUAUAUAGCCAAGACUAUAAAAAACUAUUCACUUUCAGUACACCUAUAUAUCCGUACUCCCUCUGCCUCUCUCUCUCUCUGUCUCUCUCUGCCUCUCUCUCUCUCUCUGUCUGUCUCUGUCUAUAUAUAAGUAUAUCCUCCUUAGCUAUUUCUGCCUUUUGUAAUUAUACAUUUCUCCAAGCCCAUCCAUCUAAGUCCCCCCUUAUUCCCACCCCCCUGACUAUUCCCCGUAUUAAGGGCUACCACAAGGUCCUUGAGGGACACAGCCACAGCCGCAGGAUGAAAUCGCAACUGAAAUGAACAACAACCAAAAAAAGAUCAACCACAAAACAAAAACUUAACCGAUAUUAACCAAGAAAAAAUUACUGAUUUCAGUCAAUGAAAUGCAUAUAUACAACAAACAAUAUAUAUACUAUCUAUAUAUGUAUAUAUAUAUAUAUAUAUAUGAAGAUUUCUGUAUCAACUGCCGAAUCUUAAUUCAUACUCCUUCUCUUCUGAGCAGUCCAAGAAAAAAGAUAUACUACUCGUUAGGCUAAAAAAAGAAGUAGAACUCGCAAUAGAACCCUGAAAACGAGGCGUACUUUUAGUGUCUAGAGCUCUCUUUUUGGUAUAUAAUGAAUAUAGUACAUACACACACACAAACACCCACUCAACACACACAUACACUCAACACACCCACAUAAAAUCAUAUACAUAGUAUCGGUAUGAACAUCCAGCCACCCCCAUCAGACCGCCCUACCCCCCCACCCAUUCACCUAGCCGUAAAGUGCAACUCCAGAAAGGAGUUUCAACAACAACAGCAAGAAAAAAAAAACAACUCCACUCACUCACACGGCAGUAGGCACACGUGUGGUCCACAUAUAUACACGCACACAGAUAGGCGGCAAGGAUAACCCGGUCACACACACAGGCAGGCGAGAGUGUGAGAGCCAGCCAGCAGCCAGCAUCCCAAAAAGAGCUUUCCGCUCUUUCUCUCUCUCCCACGCCACGUGAAGGACACAAAGCUUUCGGAUAAAGUUUGAGGAUAAACUUUACUCAGCUGUCGGCGAAGGAAAACAACGGAUUACCGGAAUAUAGACGUCUCUUUCGCACUUUAGUUAGAAAGGGAAUCCCCUGCUAGGUCCUUAGGAUCUCUAAAGUCUCUAAAGGGGGGCGGGCACCCAAGUAUAAGUGUUGCACAUCGUUAAGCACCUUGUUGAUAUCGUUAUCGUUAUCGCUAGCUGUGUUAUCGUGUUAUCGUAGUACAAUUUAGGACUCUAGGACUGUAAGAACCACCAAAAGCGAGAGGCAUUUGCAUUAAAGCAGCCACUAUGUGGGGGUGGACACCCUCGCAUAGUUCUUGUUUAAUGGAAGUGCCUUCGAAUGCGGCGUAUAUGCAACGUAGGCCAAGAACCAUCACAA
RNAcentral lists this unclassified non-coding RNA (2456 nucleotides) under Drosophila pseudoobscura pseudoobscura. Its description in RNAcentral is "GA10937". The record is from RNAcentral. Lineage: Eukaryota; Metazoa; Arthropoda; Insecta; Diptera; Drosophilidae.